AACGAACGCUGGCGGCAGGCCUAACACAUGCAAGUCGAGCGAGGACUUCGGUCCUAGCGGCGGACGGGUGAGUAACGCGUGGGAACGUGCCCUUUGCUUCGGAAUAGCCCUGGGAAACUGGGAGUAAUACCGGAUGAGCCCUUUGGGGGAAAGAUUUAUCGGCGAAGGAUCGGCCCGCGUUGGAUUAGGUAGUUGGUGGGGUAAUGGCCUACCAAGCCGACGAUCCAUAGCUGGUUUGAGAGGAUGAUCAGCCACACUGGGACUGAGACACGGCCCAGACUCCUACGGGAGGCAGCAGUGGGGAAUCUUAGACAAUGGGGGAAACCCUGAUCUAGCCAUGCCGCGUGAGCGAUGAAGGCCUUAGGGUUGAAAAGCUCUUUCAGCUGGGAAGAUAAUGACGGUACCAGCAGAAGAAGCCCCGGCUAACUCCGUG
This 433-nucleotide ribosomal RNA is filed under the name uncultured bacterium. RNAcentral describes it as "partial 16S ribosomal RNA". It matches the Rfam family "Bacterial small subunit ribosomal RNA", at positions 29 to 507 of the family's 1533-position model. The record is from RNAcentral.